Molecule: ribosomal RNA, 274 nt
Filed under: uncultured bacterium
Lineage: Bacteria
Description: partial 16S ribosomal RNA
Rfam family: Bacterial small subunit ribosomal RNA
Source: RNAcentral
AUACGGAGGGUGCAAGCGUUAUCCGGAAUCACUGGGUUUAAAGGGUCCGCAGGCGGAUUAAUAAGUCAGUGGUGAAAUCAUCUCGCUCAACGAGAGAACUGCCAUUGAAACUGUUAGUCUUGAAUUCGGUCGAAGUAGGCGGAAUGUGUCAUGUAGCGGUGAAAUGCAUAGAUAUGACACAGAACACCGAUAGCGAAGGCAGCUUACUAGACCUGGAUUGACGCUCAUGGACGAAAGCGUGGGGAGCGAACAGGAUUAGAAACCCCAGUAGUCC